Non-coding RNA from Pelobates cultripes (western spadefoot toad), 426 nucleotides. The record is from the annotation of a GenBank genome assembly. NCBI's taxonomy places the organism in Eukaryota, Metazoa, Chordata, Amphibia, Anura, Pelobatidae.
GUUAUUGAGUUUUUGUUCCGAUAACUGUGAUAAUUUGAUGAUUUAUCAAACUAUUUGUAAGAAUUCUAAAAUCCGAAUGUUAUAUAAUACACAAAGCAAUUUCUUCCAGAAAAGUUUUGACAUUUUCAAAGCGGAAGAGUGGGGAUAAAACAAAUCCCUAUUGGGUCAGUUGUUGGUAUCUCCAAUUACUGGAUUUAGAUGCAGUUCGCAGGCCAGAAUUGCAAAUAUAAACAUAAGAAGAAACAGCAGAAACAGAACAUAGACCACAUGCUUUAUAGUCUUGACCAAUGCUGUUAUUAAAGUCUGAAGGGGAAAGAGAAGGCAUUUGGUUUGUUAUAUGAUUCUAACCUUUUUGAUGGUAGUCUCACUCAAAUAUCAUGUUCAACUUAAAAUGUAAUUUAUAUAUCAGCUAUAAUUAUCUUGGCU